AGUGUUUGUGUUGUUGAGGUAUCCAGUGUUUGUGUUGUUGAGUUAUCCAGUGUUUAUGUGUGUGUUGUUGAGGGAUCCAGUGUUUGUGUCCAUUGUUGAGGUAUCCAAUGUUUGUGUUGUUGAAAUAUCCAGUGUUUGUGUGUGUUGUUGAGGUAUCCAGUAUUUAUACAUGUGUUGUUGUGGUAUCCAGUGUUUAUGUGUGUUGUUGAGGUAUCCAGUAUUUAUAUAUGUGUUGUUGAGGUAUCCAGUAUUUAUAUAUGUGUUGUUGUGGUAUCCAGUAUUUAUAUAUGUGUUGUUGAGGUAUCCAGUAUUUAUAUAUGUGUUGUUGUGGUAUCCAGUGUUUAUGUGUGUUGUUGUGGUAUCCAGUAUUUAUAUAUGUGUUGUUGAGGUAUCCAGUAUUUAUAUAUGUGUUGUUGAGGUAUCUGGUAUUUUUAUAUGUGUUGUUGUGGUAUCCAGUGUUUAUGUGUGUGUUGUUGAGGGAUCCAGUGUUUGUGUCCAUUGUUGAGGUAUCCAGUGUUUGUGUGUAUUGAGGUAUCCAGUGUUUAUGUGUGUUGUUGUGGUAUCCAGUAUUUAUGUGUGUUGUUGUGGUAUCCAGUGUUUAUGUGUGUUGUUGUGGUAUCCAGUGUUUAUAUGUGUUGUUGAGGUAUCCAGUAUUUAUAUAUGUGUUGUUGAGGUAUCUGGUAUUUAUAUAUGUGUUGUUGUGGUAUCGUGUUUAUGUGUGUUGUUGAGGGAUCCAGUGUUUGUGUCCAUUGUUGAGGU
Oncorhynchus tshawytscha (Chinook salmon) is the source of this 759-nucleotide long non-coding RNA. Lineage: Eukaryota; Metazoa; Chordata; Actinopteri; Salmoniformes; Salmonidae. The record is from Ensembl.